Molecule: long non-coding RNA, 3288 nt
Filed under: Homo sapiens (human)
Lineage: Eukaryota; Metazoa; Chordata; Mammalia; Primates; Hominidae
Description: HSALNT0132711
Source: RNAcentral
CUAGGCUCAGUGCAUUACCAGCAAGCAUCCCAGGCAGGGCACUCAUUUUGCAAGCUCGCAGAAAGUGUGGUCAUGCCAACUCUGAAUUCUCUGACAUUGGAAUAGAUCGAAAGCAUCCUACAAUCGCCGCCCGCCAGGCGCCCACGUGACCUCGUUGUCUUUGCGGCAUGUGCAAACUUGUUCACAGCUGUGGCUGUUGUCAUCACUUCAGCGGGAUUAUGUGCACUGUUGGCACUUCAUGUGCCGGGUUUAAUUGCCAUGUAAAAUGCCUUCAGAAAGAUUAUACUAUGAUUCAGCAUUGAAAGGAAAACUUACGGUGUAUUCAGAAAGAACAAACCAAGUGCUUUACAACCUUGCUGCUCAAAGUGUGGUCCACAGACCAGCAGCAUCGCCUGGGAGAUGGAUCGAAAUUCUGAAUUUCAGGCUCUGCCCCAAACCUACUGAAUCAGGAUCUGCAUUUUAACAAAGUCCCAUUGAUUUGCAGGCAUAUUAAAGUCUGAGUGCCCUGCUUUAGUGAACAUAAAGUGAAGCUAAUUCAUACCGAAUUAUCGAGCUAUAAAAAGGGAAUGCCCAGCAGAAGCCAAGCAGUGCAGCUGAAGGCAGGGGAAAUUGUCAAGCCCUUUAGAAUCCAUGAAAGAAAUUCCAACGCAACAAAGAGAGCAGACACCUUCAUAGAACUCCCUCAUCCCACACAAGACGCAAGUCAGAAAAAACAAAUCUCUACUCAAUUGUCCUGCUGUCUGUGACCUGGGAAAAGAGACUGUCUGAGGGAUGAGUUGGGUCUCUUGUAACUGCAACAAAGUGAAUGUCUCCGGAUGUUCUAAAAGACCCUUCUCAGAGGCCCCAGGAACCUUCCUGCAAACCAAGACUUCCCUCCAGGCACCUUGUUUACCCCGAUGUGACCAAUUCUAUCUAUGCAGAAGCUGCCUAUCCAGUUUUUAAUAUAAGUUGGGCAGAUGUCAGCUCAAGAAGAAGGAAUGAGGGGAGGCACUCAAAGGCGACUCUCACCAAAAAGGAUUUCUUCGUAUUCUGACUUCCAGAGUACAGUCGCUAUCUAUAAAAUGUAAGUCAGUAUCUUUUAUCACGCUUCAUCCUAGGAGGUGCGUGCACUAUGGUUCUCAGUUUUGCAGAUGAGGACAUUGUGGCUUGGAGAGCUUAGGGCAUUUAAACAGCAAAAAUGGCAGAGUCCCUGAAAGAUGUGCCCGGGUAUUUAGACCACAUCUUAAGGGAUUUCUCAAAGAUGCCACUGCCUUCCUGAAGGAAACCUAGGCAAACCCUGCUGGAGGCAUUGCUCGUAAAUCACUGUCAAUUUUCUUUAUUCCCCUCUCCUGCCCAUCUCUGCCACAAUGCAGUGACAAAAGACCGUGUCUUGGUACACUGCAUGUCACUCCCUGAGAUUUGCUGACACCUGCAGACAAAUGAGAGGAUUGCACUGAGUUUGCAUUAAAAGGUAUUAGAGGCCAAGCGCCGUGGCUCACGCCUGUAAUCCCAGCACUUUGGGAGGCCAAGGUGAGUGGAUCACUUGAGCUCAGGAGUUUGAGACCAGCCUGGCCAACAUGGUGAAACCCCGUCUCUACUAACAAUACAAAAAUUAGCCAGGCGUGGUGGCGCGCGCCUGUAGUCCCAGCUACUUAGGAGGCUGAGGCAGGAGAAUUGCUUGAACCUGGGAGGUGGAGGUUGCAGUGAACCAAGAUUGCACCACUGCACUCCAGCUUGGGCAACAACACAGCUGAGACUCUGUCUGAAAAAAAAAAAAAGUAUCAGAGCUGCUUGCAGGAAACCCCAGACCCAGGAAAGGCCGUAUCAUCUCUGGAGAAGAUGAUGCAGACCAGGACAGAGAGCACUAGGAGUAGGUCUGCAGAGAUCCGAGCAGCCCCUCUGGUCCAGGCCAUGCGGUCAGGUGCACGGACUCCCGUUGCACCUUAUUGCCCUGAGGCGUGGUCUGAUGAGAGGCCUCAGGUGUUCUUUAUUCUGGGCAACGUGUAAUCAGUGAUUAUUUCUAACAAUGCAAAUAGUAAAACUACCUUAGCCACUCACUGGGUAACCCUGAGCAACUCCUUUAGUUAGGAGUCAGCCUAACUAAAUUCUUAUUGAUAUAAUGUAUAUUUAUAUUAAUUUUUUAAAAACCAUAAACCCAUACACAAAACCAAAAUCUCUGAUAACAAUUGGGCCUGAAGUCGACUAUGAGGUCUGGGCUUUUGAGAGAAUGAAGUACCAACUCUUUCCGGUAGGUGGAGCCAAAAGAUCACACCUGAAGCGCAUUUCAGUUCAGCCCUCCCAGGCGGCAGGGCGGGGUACCAGCAUUUUCUAGCUCUUAAUAACCUUUACAUUGUCGGGGGAUCAGUGAAGAAGGUUAUAAAGAGCUUGUAUUCAUCCACCCCAUUCAUAUGUCCCCCACAUUAGCAGUCCUUUUAUUCAUAACGUACUCUCCCACCACGACCACCACAUUAUGAAUAAAUGAGACCUACCACCUGCAAUGCCUGGCCUUUCUCCCUGUAGCCAUCACCUCUCCAAUCUUUCCCCAAUCUCAGGCCUAAAAUCGUCAAAUCAGGGUAUCCAAAUGCCAAAAUGUUCCCCCUCACAGAUGCUACUUGUCUCUCAACCUUGCUUAUGAAAAAGGAAAGAAACUAAUGUCCGUAGAGAAUAGACUAUAUUUCAGGCAUUUCCACAUGUCACUUGAUCCCAAUAAUAAUGGCAAUCAUCGUAAUAGCUGCUGUUUUGGGACAUUUACUAUAAGCCAAGUGCCAUGCUAAGUACUUUUAUAUAUUAUCUCAUUUAAUUCUCUUAGGAUGACUGUAAAAUGGCAUUAUCAUACCCACUUCACAGUUCUGGAAACUGAAAUUCAGAGAGCUUGGUAAGCACAGGAUAGCGCAUGUUGGAAGGCACAUCAGGAUUAAUUUACAUUUCAUGAGCAUCUCGCCCCUACUUCUGUUGUUGUAUAGUCUCUCACUUACACCAGGGCUCUUUCUCUGGGAACACAGGGGCAAGAGGGGGAGGCCAGUUGUUGGGGAAGAGGAGAAAGGGAAGAGGACUGGCGCUCCUUCCACUAUGAAGGGGAGAUAUGCUCAGGGUACCCUGUUCUAGACCCUAUCUAGAUGAGACCCUUGACCUGCAUCACCUUAUCUCCCUCCUCCUUACCAAAAUAACCUAAAACUUUUCCCAUAGAAACAAUAGUUUUGGUUUUUUGUUUUAUUUUGUUUUGUUUUGUUUUUGUUGUUUUUUUGCUAUAGCCCUAAUAUCAUUAUUCAACUACUUAAUAGGUUAAAUAGGAUUUUUCAAAUACACUGG